UACGUAGGGUGCGAGCGUUGUCCGGAAUUAUUGGGCGUAAAGAGCUCGUAGGCGGCUUGUCGCGUCGACCGUGAAAACUUGGGGCUCAACCCCAAGCCUGCGGUCGAUACGGGCAGGCUCGAGUUCGGUAGGGGAGACUGGAAUUCCUGGUGUAGCGGUGAAAUGCGUAGAUAUCGGUAGGAACACCAGUGGCGAAGGCGGUCUCCUGGGGCAUUCUUGACGCUGAGGCGCGAAAGCUGGGGGAGCAAACGGG
RNAcentral lists this ribosomal RNA (253 nucleotides) under uncultured bacterium. Its description in RNAcentral is "partial 16S ribosomal RNA". It matches the Rfam family "Bacterial small subunit ribosomal RNA", at positions 524 to 776 of the family's 1533-position model. The record is from RNAcentral.